AGUGAACGCUGGCGGUAGGCCUAACACAUGCAAGUCGAACGGCAGCACAGUAAGAGCUUGCUCUUACGGGUGGCGAGUGGCGGACGGGUGAGGAAUACAUCGGAAUCUACUUUUUCGUGGGGGAUAACGUAGGGAAACUUACGCUAAUACCGCAUACGACCUACGGGUGAAAGCAGGGGAACUUCGGACCUUGCGCGAUUGAAUGAGCCGAUGUCGGAUUAGCUAGUUGGCGGGGUAAAGGCCCACCAAGGCGACGAUCCGUAGCUGGUCUGAGAGGAUGAUCAGCCACACUGGAACUGAGACACGGUCCAGACUCCUAAGGGAGGCAGCAGUGGGGAACAUUGGACAAUGGGCGCAAGCCUGAUCCAGCCAUACCGCGUGGGUGAAGAAGGCCUUCGGGUUGUAAAGCCCUUUUGUUGGGAAAGAAAAGCAGCAGGUUAAUACCCCGCUGUUCUGACGGUACCCAAAGAAUAAGCACCGGCUAACUUCGUG
Molecule: ribosomal RNA, 492 nt
Filed under: uncultured bacterium
Lineage: Bacteria
Description: partial 16S ribosomal RNA
Rfam family: Bacterial small subunit ribosomal RNA
Source: RNAcentral